Daphnia pulex (common water flea) is the source of this 951-nucleotide long non-coding RNA. RefSeq lists it as uncharacterized. The record is from RefSeq and is a predicted model, not a curated record. NCBI's taxonomy places the organism in Eukaryota, Metazoa, Arthropoda, Branchiopoda, Diplostraca, Daphniidae. The transcript has 2 exons.
GUACUUCGUAUUACUUCGCAGGGAACUUCAUGUAGAGUUGGGUUGGGUUUGCAUCAUUUCUCUUCUUCAAACGACUCGCAUCAAAAAGAAGUUUUAGUUUCUUUUUUAUUUAUUUAUCACACUAUUAUAUUUCAUUCGAUCCUGAAGUUUUCUUCGACGCAUGCAUUUACACGCAGUAAAUUCCAAUUAAAGAUUCCUUUUUUCUGCCGGACCAGCGGGUCGAUGAAGAUGCGGUCAUCGCAGGCUUUGCAACUCCAGUUGAUACUCGAGCUUUCGCCUCUUCCUGAUGCGCUGCUUGUAGUGCUGCUACAGGUUGGGAGCUUAUCGAUGCAGGAACUGCAGACGCAGCCAAAGUUUUUCGGGUUGGAUUUCGUUCCAAAUCAACAUUGGGGCAAUCUGUCAUAAAGAAAAGAAAUUUAAAUAUUGGUUCAUCUAAAUUCUAAUAACGUUUAAUUACCUGCAACAUUUUCUCGGCAAUUUGAAGAAUUGGAAGAAGUAGAAGAAUGGCGUUCCAUUGGCUGCGACGAAUGGUUGGAUGAACUGCUCGACAGUCUUCCAUGAGGGUCUUGGCCGGUCGUUUGAAAGUACAGAUUUCGAUACUUGAUCAGUUUUUCUUUAUAAAAUUCCAUUCUUUCACCGAUUUCUGAGACUUUUUUCCGCAGUCUUUCGUUGUCUGAAACGUACUGAUCCAUUUGCCAGCGGAACUAUAAAUUUAAUAUAAUACAAGAAUAAAUUUAAUUUUAUACAAGAAAGCUCUUCGAAGUGAAAUGAAGACUUACGCCAAACCCUUUGUCAGCAAUUGGAUCGGUUUGGAUGGAUAUUGACUCCACAACGAUUGAAAGGCGAGGCUUUGGGAGGCUGACUGUGCCGUCUUCGUUUUGCCGAUCACGCAGCAACCGAAGUUGUUCUUUGCAUUUCACAUACUAAAAAAAAUAAAAUCAAAGUAUUAUU